RNAcentral lists this ribosomal RNA (253 nucleotides) under uncultured bacterium. RNAcentral describes it as "partial 16S ribosomal RNA". It matches the Rfam family "Bacterial small subunit ribosomal RNA", at positions 524 to 776 of the family's 1533-position model. The record is from RNAcentral.
UACGGAGGGUGCAAGCGUUAUCCGGAUUCACUGGGUUUAAAGGGUGCGUAGGAGGGUAGGUAAGUCAGUGGUGAAAUCCCCGAGCUUAACUUGGGAACUGCCGUUGAUACUAUCUAUCUUGAAUACCGUGGAGGUGAGCGGAAUAUGUCAUGUAGCGGUGAAAUGCUUAGAUAUGACAUAGAACACCAAUUGCGAAGGCAGCUCGCUACACGAAUAUUGACUCUGAGGCACGAAAGCGUGGGGAUCAAACAGG